This 879-nucleotide ribosomal RNA is filed under the name uncultured euryarchaeote. RNAcentral describes it as "bacterial SSU rRNA". It matches the Rfam family "Archaeal small subunit ribosomal RNA", at positions 22 to 903 of the family's 1478-position model. Lineage: Archaea; Methanobacteriati; Methanobacteriota. The record is from RNAcentral.
GGCCACUGCUAUCGGGCUCCGACUAAGCCAUGCGAGUUUAGGGGCUCUUCGGAGCACCGGCGGACGGCUCAGUAACACGUGGACAACCUACCCUCGGGUGGGGGAUAACCUCGGGAAACUGAGGCUAAUACCCCAUAGGUCUCGGAUACUGGAAGGUUCCGAGGCUGAAAGCUCCGGCGCCCGAGGAUGGGUCUGCGGCCUAUCAGGUAGUUGGUGGUGUAAAGGACCACCAAGCCUGCGACGGGUACGGGCCCUGAGAGGGGAAGCCCGGAGAUGGACUCUGAGACACGAGUCCAGGCCCUACGGGGCGCAGCAGGCGCGAAACCUUCGCAAUGCGCGAAAGCGCGACGAGGGGAGCCCGAGUGCCCUUCCUUCGGGGAGGGCUUUUCUGGAGCCUAAAAAGCUCCAGGAAUAAGGGCUGGGCAAGACGGGUGCCAGCCGCCGCGGUAAUACCCGCAGCUCAAGUGGUGGCCGCUAUUAUUGAGCCUAAAGCGUCCGUAGCCGGACCCGUAAAUCCCUGGGUAAAUCCUGGCGCUCAACGUCAGGAAUUCCGGGGAGACUGCGGGUCUUGGGACCGGGAGAGGCCGGAGGUACUCCCGGGGUAGCGGUGAAAUGCUGUAAUCCUGGGGGGACCACCUGUGGCGAAAGCGUCCGGCUUGAACGGCUCCGACGGUGAGGGACGAAGGCCAGGGGAGCGAACCGGAUUAGAUACCCGGGUAGUCCUGGCUGUAAACGCUGCCCGCUUGGUGUUGCCGGUCUCACGGGGGCCGGCAGUGCCGGAGCGAAGGUGUUAAGCGGGCCGCUUGGGAAGUACGGCCGCAAGGCUGAAACUUAAAGGAAUUGGCGGGAGAGCACUGCAACGGGAGGAGCGUGCGGUUU